This 65-nucleotide transfer RNA is filed under the name Microcotyle sebastis. RNAcentral's name for it is "tRNA-Glu". The record is from RNAcentral. Lineage: Eukaryota; Metazoa; Platyhelminthes; Monogenea; Mazocraeidea; Microcotylidae.
CUUGAUUAAGUAUAAGAUAGUAUAUUUAUUUUUCGUAUAAAAGGUGUAGUUUUCUACAAUCAAGU